GAGUGGGGUGGGUGGCGGUGGCAGAGGGUAUAGGAGGAUAAUAGUAAUGGAAAAAAUGCAAUAAAAAUAUUUUUAAAAUAAGUAAUGCUGUAAAAUGAAGCUCAAAAUUUGUACCUCCAAAUAUUUUUAAUAUGUAAUGGAGAUUCUCACUUAAACCUUGUAAAUAAUAAAUUUACAAUGAAUUUAAAAUCAAUAUAUUUUAAAUAUCAUGUUAGUAGUUAGAUUGGUGAAGACUAUUAUAGAAUAAGUACACUAAUGAGUAACAAAUCAGCCAUCUCUGUAGAUAUGUGAAUUAAGCACAGCAAAUCAAGGUAUAAAAAUAAUUUGGAUGUGUAACCAUUUCCAGGUUCAAGGACUGUGGUUCACUUAGUUUAAACACUUAUGAGGUUCACUUAAAAAUAGAUGUUUUAUUAGUAUUAGGUACCAUGUAUUGAAUAAUCAUCAUUUGCAGGUUUGGGUGAAAUUUUGCCCAAAACUUACCCCAUAUGGACCUCCCAACAACCCUUUGAAGGGUAUCACUGUUAUUCCCAUUUUACAGAUGUGGAGGUUGAGAGUUACAGAUGCUAAAGUAAGUAACAGAGUGUUAUAUUACCCUGAAAUGUCAGAACUGAGAUUCAAAACCAGGUCCAUUAGAUGACAAAGUACACAUUUAGUAAUCACUGUAUUAUACUAAUGAUCCUAAGAGUAUAAUCUUCAGACAAUGUAAAAAUGUAGGCAUCUUAACAUUUGUGAACAGGUUAAACUACAGCUUAUGGCUGUUGCUGAGUUUCGUGAGUUUUGUUCCAUAGGAAAAUACAAGCGAAUACAUACAUACGCAGUGCCUCCCUUCCCUGCCACAAAGCAUUUGCCUUUGAAGUCGCCGCUCAGCUAGUUGGGAUCUUAGAAGAGCAUUUAGCAAAAGUUAAAAUGUAAUGCCAAACUUCAUUGGCUGGAUUUUUUAUUAGAUAAGGUAGAAAUGAAAGCAGCAGGCAAUUUAAUUAGCAGUAAUUUUUCUGGGCAAGUCAUUACUUUGAUGAACUU
Phyllostomus discolor (pale spear-nosed bat) is the source of this 1020-nucleotide long non-coding RNA. RefSeq lists it as uncharacterized. The transcript has 2 exons. The record is from RefSeq and is a predicted model, not a curated record. NCBI's taxonomy places the organism in Eukaryota, Metazoa, Chordata, Mammalia, Chiroptera, Phyllostomidae.